RNAcentral lists this ribosomal RNA (532 nucleotides) under Aspergillus fumigatus. RNAcentral describes it as "eukaryotic LSU rRNA". The stretch from base 151 to 304 matches the Rfam family "5.8S ribosomal RNA". The record is from RNAcentral. Lineage: Eukaryota; Fungi; Ascomycota; Eurotiomycetes; Eurotiales; Aspergillaceae.
GUGUCUAUCGUACCUUGUUGCUUCGGCGGGCCCGCCGUUUCGACGGCCGCCGGGGAGGCCUUGCGCCCCCGGGCCCGCGCCCGCCGAAGACCCCAACAUGAACGCUGUUCUGAAAGUAUGCAGUCUGAGUUGAUUAUCGUAAUCAGUUAAAACUUUCAACAACGGAUCUCUUGGUUCCGGCAUCGAUGAAGAACGCAGCGAAAUGCGAUAAGUAAUGUGAAUUGCAGAAUUCAGUGAAUCAUCGAGUCUUUGAACGCACAUUGCGCCCCCUGGUAUUCCGGGGGGCAUGCCUGUCCGAGCGUCAUUGCUGCCCUCAAGCACGGCUUGUGUGUUGGGCCCCCGUCCCCCUCUCCCGGGGGACGGGCCCGAAAGGCAGCGGCGGCACCGCGUCCGGUCCUCGAGCGUAUGGGGCUUUGUCACCUGCUCUGUAGGCCCGGCCAGCGCCAGCCGACACCCAACUUUAUUUUUCUAAGGUUGACCUCGGAUCAGGUAGGGAUACCCGCUGAACUUAAGCAGAUCAAUAAGCGGAGGA